This 1117-nucleotide long non-coding RNA is filed under the name Helianthus annuus (common sunflower). Its description in RNAcentral is "sRNA HanXRQr2_Chr17g0803321". The record is from RNAcentral. Lineage: Eukaryota; Viridiplantae; Streptophyta; Magnoliopsida; Asterales; Asteraceae.
AUGCAUGCUUGUUCAAUCUAUCAAGGACAUCGACAAUAUCUACUAUGAGACUACAGAAUACCGAAGAGAAUGGUGCACCAGCCCCUUGCUUUCUUUUUGCUAGGAAAUUCACUCGGCCUGCUGCCAUGCGUCUUCUUCACGAGCUGGAUAAAAAAUACCCUUACUAGAUAAAAAAGACGAAAAUACCCCUAACUUAACAGAGAAAAAUGGAUGGAUGAAAAUAGCAAUAUUUCAAACCUUUUGGAUCCAGAUGCGGAAAAACAAACUUUUGGGCGAAAGUCGUAAAACUUCGGGGACAAACAUGGCAUUUUACUCUCUGCACAAACAAUAACAAGUAUGAAUUAUACAACAUAAUACCUGCACGAUGUCAUUUCCUUGAGCCAUCGACAGGUGCCAUAUCACCUUCGGUCUCUCCACCAGGUUGUGUCAUCUUUCCAUUCUUCCUCGAGAACGGUUACCCUUUGGCGGCCCUAAACCGCUCUUCUGAAAAAUUCUGCAUAGCACAAACAUAUCCUUUUCCCCACCCACAAAACAAGAACACAAAGUACUUUCAAUAGUUCUAUAUAACUGCAUACAAUUACAAAUACAAUAAUCAUGAGUGAUGCAAUUUUCCAACCUCUGCUAUGCCAGCUGUCACCAAUUCUUGAUCCACAAGUCGGUAUUCAUGCAUGACCCAAUUAGUACGUUUUCCAUCUGGGGCCCGCCCGCUAUGGAACACAAGUGUUUUCUUCAUCCCUAUUGUUUCAGACUUGUGGGUGUUUAGUUUUUUUUAGAUUUUUUUUUUUUUUUAGAAUCCACACAUUAUGAAUUUUGAAUCUUUUAUUACUUUCACCAGUCUCCUCAAAAUAAUUAUGAAGGUAAACCCUAUAAAAAAGAUAGUUGUCACUUAGAGGCCACGGAUUAAGGGGCCCUCAAUUCUCUUGGUUAUAUACUAAAAUUGCACAUCGUUUUUCGAUUAUAUGAAUAUGUGAUGAUACUGUUAACAUAUUAAGAAUUUAUGCUAUUUAUCUUUGUAUUUUUCUUAGCAUUUCACAUAUUGGAUUAGAAUAGGUUGAUUUGUGGUUAACUUCCUUUAGUUUUCAGUUUUAACAAAAGGAUCAAAUAACCUAAUCUUGGA